This 468-nucleotide ribosomal RNA is filed under the name uncultured bacterium. RNAcentral describes it as "partial 16S ribosomal RNA". It matches the Rfam family "Bacterial small subunit ribosomal RNA", at positions 28 to 507 of the family's 1533-position model. The record is from RNAcentral.
GACGAACGCUGGCGGCGUGCUUAACACAUGCAAGUCGAACGGAAAGGCCCUGCUUUUGUGGGGUGCUCGAGUGGCGAACGGGUGAGUAACACGUGAGUAACCUGCCCUUGACUUUGGGAUAACUUCAGGAAACUGGGGCUAAUACCGGAUAGGAGCUCCUGCUGCAUGGUGGGGGUUGGAAAGUUUCGGCGGUUGGGGAUGGACUCGCGGCUUAUCAGCUUGUUGGUGGGGUAGUGGCUUACCAAGGCUUUGACGGGUAGCCGGCCUGAGAGGGUGACCGGCCAAAUUGGGACUGAGAUACGGCCCAGACUCCUAAGGGAGGCAGGAGUGGGGAAUAUUGCACAAUGGGCGGAAGCCUGAUGCAGCAACGCCGCGUGCGGGAUGACGGCCUUCGGGUUGUAAACCGCUUUCGCCUGUGACGAAGCGUGAGUGACGGUAAUGGGUAAAGAAGCACCGGCUAACUACGUG